This 251-nucleotide ribosomal RNA is filed under the name Ovis aries (sheep). Its description in RNAcentral is "partial 12S ribosomal RNA". Lineage: Eukaryota; Metazoa; Chordata; Mammalia; Artiodactyla; Bovidae. The record is from RNAcentral.
UUACCGCGGUCAUCGAUUAACCCGAGCUAACAGGAAUUGGGCAUAAAGCGUGUUAAAGCAUUACAUCAAAUAGAGUUAAAUUUUAAUUAAACUGUAAAAAACCAUAAUUACAACAAAAAUAAAUGACGAAAAGGGACCCUACAACAGCUGACACCCCAUAGCUAAGACCCAAAAUCGGUUAGAUACCCCCACUAUGCUUAGCCCUAGACACAAAUAAUAUAAGAACCAAAAAUUUUUUCCCAAGUUCCCAC